UACAGAGGGGGCAAGCGUUGUUCGGAAUUACUGGGCGUAAAGGGCGCGUAGGCGGCCUUCUAAGUCGAACGUGAAAUCCCCGGGCUCAACCCGGGAACUGCGUCCGAUACUGGAAGGCUUGAGUUCGGGAGAGGGAUGCGGAAUUCCAGGUGUAGCGGUGAAAUGCGUAGAUAUCUGGAGGAACACCGGUGGCGAAGGCGGCAUCCUGGACCGACACUGACGCUGAGGAGCGAAAGCCAGGGGAGCAAACGGG
Molecule: ribosomal RNA, 253 nt
Filed under: uncultured bacterium
Lineage: Bacteria
Description: partial 16S ribosomal RNA
Rfam family: Bacterial small subunit ribosomal RNA
Source: RNAcentral